RNAcentral lists this ribosomal RNA (375 nucleotides) under uncultured bacterium. RNAcentral describes it as "bacterial SSU rRNA". It matches the Rfam family "Bacterial small subunit ribosomal RNA", at positions 29 to 388 of the family's 1533-position model. The record is from RNAcentral.
AGCGAACGCUGGCGGCGUGCCUAACACAUGCAAGUCGAACGUGAAAGGGGGCAACCCUGAGUAAAGUGGCGUACGGGUGAGUAACACGUAGGUAAUCUACCCCAGAGUCUGGAAUAACCUGCCGAAAGGCGGGCUAAUACUGGAUAGAGCGACGGAAUCCGUAAUUGGGUUUUUCGGGAAAGGGAGGGUGUUGAACCCCCUCCGCUUGGGUACGGAGCCUGCGUCUCAUUAGGUAGUUGGUGGGGUAAGUGGCCUACCAAGCCUGUAUGAGUAGCUGGUCUGAGAGGAUGAUCAGCACACUGGAACUGAAACACGGUCCAGACUCCUACGGGAGGCAGCAGUGGGGAAUCUUGCGCAAUGGACGAAAGUCUGACG